RNAcentral lists this ribosomal RNA (378 nucleotides) under uncultured eukaryote. RNAcentral describes it as "partial 18S ribosomal RNA". It matches the Rfam family "Eukaryotic small subunit ribosomal RNA", at positions 592 to 976 of the family's 1831-position model. The record is from RNAcentral.
CAAUAGCGUAUAUUAAAGUUGUUGCAGUUAAAAAGCUCGUAGUUGGAACUUGGGCCUGGCUGGCGGGUCCGCCUCACCGCGUGCACUCGUCCGGCCGGGCCUUCCUUCUGAAGAACCUCAUGCCCUUCACUGGGCGUGCUGGGGAAUCAGGACUUUUACUUUGAAAAAAUUAGAGUGUUCAAAGCAGGCCUUUGCUCGAAUACGUUAGCAUGGAAUAAUAAAAUAGGGCGUGCGUUUCUAUUUUGUUGGUUUCUAGAGACGCCGCAAUGAUUAACAGGAACAGUCGGGGGCAUCAGUAUUCAGUUGUCAGAGGUGAAAUUCUUGGAUUUACUGAAGACUAACUACUGCGAAAGCAUUUGCCAAGGAUGUUUNCAUUAA